RNAcentral lists this ribosomal RNA (828 nucleotides) under Salmonella enterica. RNAcentral describes it as "partial 23S ribosomal RNA". It matches the Rfam family "Bacterial large subunit ribosomal RNA", at positions 412 to 1238 of the family's 2925-position model. Lineage: Bacteria; Pseudomonadati; Pseudomonadota; Gammaproteobacteria; Enterobacterales; Enterobacteriaceae. The record is from RNAcentral.
GUAGGGCGGGACACGUGGUAUCCUGUCUGAAUAUGGGGGGACCAUCCUCCAAGGCUAAAUACUCCUGACUGACCGAUAGUGAACCAGUACCGUGAGGGAAAGGCGAAAAGAACCCCGGCGAGGGGAGUGAAAAAGAACCUGAAACCGUGUACGUACAAGCAGUGGGAGCACAGGUUUACCUGUGUGACUGCGUACCUUUUGUAUAAUGGGUCAGCGACUUAUAUUCUGUAGCAAGGUUAACCGUAUAGGGGAGCCGGAGGGAAACCGAGUCUUAAUUGGGCGUUAAGUUGCAGGGUAUAGACCCGAAACCCGGUGAUCUAGCCAUGGGCAGGUUGAAGGUUGGGUAACACUAACUGGAGGACCGAACCGACUAAUGUUGAAAAAUUAGCGGAUGACCUGUGGCUGGGGGUGAAAGGCCAAUCAAACCGGGAGAUAGCUGGUUCUCCCCGAAAGCUAUUUAGGUAGCGCCUCGUGAAUUCAUCUCCGGGGGUAGAGCACUGUUUCGGCUAGGGGGCCAUCCCGGCUUACCAACCCGAUGCAAACUGCGAAUACCGGAGAAUGUUAUCACGGGAGACACACGGCGGGUGCUAACGUCCGUCGUGAAGAGGGAAACAACCCAGACCGCCAGCUAAGGUCCCAAAGUCAUGGUUAAGUGGGAAACGAUGUGGGAAGGCCCAGACAGCCAGGAUGUUGGCUUAGAAGCAGCCAUCAUUUAAAGAAAGCGUAAUAGCUCACUGGUCGAGUCGGCCUGCGCGGAAGAUGUAACGGGGCUAAACCAUGCACCGAAGCUGCGGCAGCGACGCUUAUGCGUUGUUGGGUAGGGGAGCG